This 211-nucleotide ribosomal RNA is filed under the name Polititapes rhomboides. Its description in RNAcentral is "partial 16S ribosomal RNA". Lineage: Eukaryota; Metazoa; Mollusca; Bivalvia; Venerida; Veneridae. The record is from RNAcentral.
AAGACGAGAAGACCCUGUCGAGCUUAAUUAAACUAAGGAUGAUAGAAUUUUUAGUCAAAAUGUAGUUGGGGAAAGUUAGGCUUGAGAUAAUAAGCUUUUUAAGGUGAAGAUCCUUUUUGAGAGAAAUUAGCAAAAGCUACCGCAGGGAUAACAGCGUAAUCUCUCUCCAGUGGCAUAGCUAUUUAGAGGGGGGUUUGCGACCUCGAUGUUG